UCAACUGAUAUAUGACAACAAAAUUGUUGUUGGAAGAGACUGCUUUGUUGGAGAAUUUCCACAAACACCUAGAGCGUAAAAGUUGACCCAAAUAAUAAAUUUUCAAAUCAUACAUAGAACUACCACCACCAAUUUUCAAAUAGGACCCAAAGAAAACACCGACACUCAGUUUUUCCUUAAUCACACAUAGAAAAUAAAAAAAAAUUAGAGACUGUGAAAAGAUCCACACAAAGCAAAAAACUUAACAUUGAAUUACUUUAAAUUCAACUCAAACACCUAUCAAAAUUCAACUCAGAACAGUCACAAUGUUUGGACGAAUAGACAUGAAUUUUCAGAAAAGGUUACACCUUUUAGAUGAACCUUUGCCACUUUUCAGAAGAGGCAUCUUGUGGCUAUAAAAAUCUGGUUUCAUCCACAGGUUUGAAUACAAAAUUUUUAGAUUAAAAAACUCUCUUUUUGUCUCAAAAAUAUUCUGUGUGAUUACUCAAAACGUUCUGUGAGUUCAAAGAUAUUCCAACCGUUUGAGGUACCGCUACUGUUGGUGUUGUUAGCCAUUUUAUCCUCGGAGGAAAAAUUCCACAACCUCGGGUACAGUGAGGGGGAUUAUUUCCUUAAGAAAAAUCUGUGAAUUCGGAUGACUUGGCUAUUUUCUGUUUCAUCUUAAUUUCUGCAAAAUAAAAUACACCUCUUGGAAAGGUCAUUUUGAUCUUGUGUUGAGGGUAUUUGAUAUACUUCAUUGUGUUCUUGCUUAUACUUGAACUCAAGUUGAAGUUGGUGUUGUAAUAUACAAAUUCUGUAUACCCGACUAUAAUGUGGGAAAUAACAACCUACAACCUAAACAAAGAACUAAGACAACUUAAGUAUUCCCUUUUCUAUGGAACUACCUGCAUAUACCCAAGAAAAGUCUGUGAAGAGAGCAAAGAAGGAAAAGAUGAAAAGGAAAAUGCAAGAUGACAUAGAUCGAUAAUAAUUUCCUAACAGUUAUACUAAUAGUCCACCAAAAGCAUAUGAAAAAUUGAAAUUUGAAACACUAAAACUCACUAUCGCAAUUUCUGUAGCUAACAAAGAGCAAAAAAAAAAAAACCCAAAUUCAGCUGAGUGAUGAGAACCAAAUCGAUCGACAAUAUACGAGAUUACCUAAAGAACAAAUAACUGAAUUGUUCUUAAACAAUCAUCUGUAAGAGCUCUAAUGGAACUCUUGUGAACUCAAAAGAAAAGAGAGAGAGUUGUUAUUGAUUUACUUGAGAGAAUUCUGUAAAAUGAUUGCGAUGGAGAAUCCAGCUACUUAUGCAGUUAUCCUAACUGAAUUUGGGAUUCAAGUUCAAAAGUCAGUUAUAACUAACUCCUGAACAGCUGGCAAUAGGUCACUGUGACUAGUCUUUAAGCUAAAAUUGAAUUACAAAAGCAACUAACUGAAAUGCUAAAAUAGGUCAUACACAACACCACAAAGAGAAAACAAAAGUAGGAACGUAUAUAAUGAUUUCAAUGGAAUCGUUAGCCAAUUGCAGGGGACCAAUUCCUGUGAGAAGAAGCUUGUGUAAACAAUGGGCAAAAAAAUACAAGUAGCGGUUUAAACAAUGAACUUGUGAAAAGAUUUAUUUGCCCUUGGAAGCAGGCAUGAUGACCGUGACCUGUUUCCAAGGCGUCGUCGAUUUCGCCUUUUCUGCUAAGGUAACUGUUUAGUUUGUUUGUGUUGUUUUGCAUUUACUGUUUUUAGGUGUUUUUUUUGUUUUGUUUGAUUUAUGCUGAGGAAUUUGUGUACUCUUGGAAUUCCAUGUACUGUUUGUCGAAACAGUCCUAAUUUAAGGUGUAAAGGAAAAAGGAUUUAUGUCUCUCUAAUCUGUACGUAGCUUUUCCAUUGAAAUAUCAGAUAUCAAAAUUUGUGUUUACCUGAUCAAAUAUUUCAUUCUCAGGUUAUGAAUCGAAUAAUUGAAUCCAAUUAGUAGUUGUGGUAUGGAGAAUUGGCUAUUUAGUUGUGAUAUUUCAUUCGCCUGCACAAUUGUUUAUACAAUUAAACAUUGCUUUCUGUUACUAGAUGUCGACAAACAAAAAACCAGCCGCCUUCACACCCCAUCGGCAACACGGAUUCAACGACACUGGCUAUUACGAACAAAGGUUACAGAAUUGGAUUGAAAAUCCAUACUGAAAACAACUUGACAUAUCUUAUACAAAAAUGGACGAUACAAUGGUGUGUGCAUGAUGCUGGGCCUCUUUUUUAGUCUAAUUUUGAUGGCUCGCUUUGCCAACGACCUCUAAUUAGGUCCUACACUCAUUAGUCCGACAAAGUGCAUCAAGUUGACUGCGACUUACACUAGGAUGGUGUUUGCAGCAUCGAAAGAAGCUCACUAUCAGGAUGGACAGGAAGCUAUGUGUAAGGCUGAAACUACUGGUAAUGAUGACUGCCCUGUUACAAUUAAACUUGUUACUCCUCCAGCAUGUGUGCUCGAUACUUGGACUCUUGACAAGGUUUCUUCAUCCAGCAUCACUUAUGGCGAUGAAUGAUGUAGCACCUUAUUUCUUUGGUUUUUUCUUUGGGUGAUAAGUUCUUAACAAUUGGUUGACAUCCAUUACAUGAAGAGCCCAUCGCUGUUGUAUUUAAUCCAGAUGAAACUUAAGGGGAACUCCGGAACUACUGAAAAGCUCAAAGCCUUGAACUUUUCUGCCACAAUUAUGAGAAUCGAGAGCUUUAUUCCAUUUUUUAGGAGAUCAUGUAAAAAAUUACAAUUUGGAAAAGCUAGAACUGAUGGGAGUUGUGUUGGUUUUUUGCUGAGUUAUGUACAUUUCACAAGUCCUGGAAAUUCAGCUGAAUUGAGACUUGGCAUUUUCUUCACUUGAGUUUUUCCAAGCAGACAUUAUAGCGACGCUAAUAUGGACAUUGAAAUUAGAUUUACACGGAAAAACUCUGAUGUAAUUCUAAUUGCUGCAUACAAAAUUGAUGGUUACAAAUUAUAGCUAGAUUACUAUUAUUGGGCCUACGCUAGCGUGGGCUUCUUCAUCUAGUUACUACUAGGAAAAAUUACACAAACUAGCAUACCUAAGACAUUAAUUACAAUUAAUAGCAAUAGUUUCUCAAAAUUACAACUAAUAGCAAAAGUAAUAAUAUUUUACCCUUUUUAUUGAGAAGAACGUGACUUUAACUCAUUACCCUCUUUUCACGCCACUUCCUUUACAUUACCCUCUUUUCAUGCCAAUUUAUCAGUUUCAAGUUUUCCCAAUGUCUUUCUUCGACAAUUUUUUUUUCAAAUUCCAUUUUUUCUCUCUUAUCAAUCUCCAUUUGAGAAGUUGAAGAAUUUUCCAUUUCUGUAUAGCCAUGGCUUUCAAGAACUUCAGCGAUAAAAACGUUGUUUUUCGAAAGCUCAAAUCCAAGCCUGAAAAUAAGAUUUCCUCUUUUAAUUUUUAUUUAACCUUUUUGGACUCUUUUAUAUUGAAUUUUGUUGAUUACAUAGAAUUUCUUCAGAUUUGUUUUAGAUCCGUUAAUUUUGGUUGAUUUUCUACAUGAUUUUUAAUUUCAAAUUUUGAUUUGUUUUGUUAGAUGUGUUUCGAUUGCAAUGCUAAGAAUCCAACUUGGGCAUUGGUGACGUAUGGGAUCUUCUUGUGUAUCGAUUGCUCCGUUGUUCAUCGCAGACUUGGCGUUCAUAUCAAUUUUGUUAGCCAAGGGAUGCCGUUUUCAUCGAUGGGUGGGCUGGUGGCUUCGAUUGGACUCGUCGGUUUCGGCAUUUCCCGAUGAAUUUUUGACAGAGGGAAGGUCUAUCCGGCGGAUUUCACCGUGACAGUGACCGACAACGGCAGUAAUUAAUGGUAUUUUACCGGCGAGUAUUAGCCUGGACCAUUCAUGUAUUCAUAAAAUAGAUAUGUAUAUGUUGUAAUAUAAGUAUAAUAUGUAUUCUGUAAAUUCAAAGUGCCACUGUUUUGAAAUGUAAAGUAUAUACAUGUCACAGUUUAGAUAUGUUUUUAUGAAUACAUAUUGCUAAGAUUUGUAUUUAUGUUAAGUUGUAUUUGUUGUUCAUUAAAUUUUGACUAUGAUAUGUACUUCUUUCUUCUUGAUAAGCAUGAUUUUUGUACCAGUUAUAUAUAAAUAAAAUACAUAUGUAUUUGAUUUGCUUGAAG
Capsicum annuum is the source of this 4107-nucleotide long non-coding RNA. RefSeq lists it as uncharacterized. Lineage: Eukaryota; Viridiplantae; Streptophyta; Magnoliopsida; Solanales; Solanaceae. The record is from RefSeq and is a predicted model, not a curated record. The transcript is spliced from 5 exons.